RNAcentral lists this ribosomal RNA (465 nucleotides) under uncultured bacterium. RNAcentral describes it as "partial 16S ribosomal RNA". It matches the Rfam family "Bacterial small subunit ribosomal RNA", at positions 338 to 795 of the family's 1533-position model. The record is from RNAcentral.
CCUACGGGGGGCAGCAGUGGGGAAUAUUGCGCAAUGGGCGAAAGCCUGACGCAGCGACGCCGCGUGAGGGAUGAAGGUCUUCGGAUCGUAAACCUCUGUCAGCAGGGAAGAACGGUCACUGUGCUAAUCAGCAGUGAAUUGACGGUACCUGCAAAGGAAGCACCGGCUAACUCCGUGCCAGCAGCCGCGGUAAUACGGAGGGUGCGAGCGUUAAUCGGAAUUACUGGGCGUAAAGCGCUCGUAGGCGGUAUGUCAAGGCAAGGGGGAAAUCCCCGCGCGCAACGUGGGAACUGCCUUUGAAACUGGCAAACUGGAGUGUGUGAGAGGAUAGUGGAAGUCGAGGUGUAGGAGUGAAAUGCGUAGAUAUCUGGCGGAACAGCAGUGGCGAAGGCGACUAUCUGGCACAUAACUGACGCUGAGGAGCGAAAGCGUGGGUAGCAAACAGGAUUAGAUACCCUUGUAGUC